UCUACCAACUCUUUUGUACUCUUCAAGCAUAGUACAGUGCUGUGCAUAUAGGUGCUCAAGAAAUACCAUUUAUUGAAUGUUAGGUGCUUAAAAGGUACAGAUCCAAGUUUAUAGUGACAAACACAUGCAUGAUUGCAAACACACUCUCUCUGUCUCUCUCUCUGCCUCUCUUGCUUCAGAACUCCAAAGAUUUAAGGUCUAGAUUGACAUCAACAGUAAAGGUUCCGUGACACACAAUAGCCCAGAAGUUGGAAUCCACAGAAUUCUACCCCCAAGCAAGAACCAGGAGGAAGUUUGGCAGCAGGAGUGUUACAGUUGAGCUCCAUCCCGGUUGCUCCUGCAAUGCCCCCUCCUCAGCUCCUCCCAGGUUAGCCCCAAGAACUAGGGUCACAGCUUUGAAGCAAGCAUAAGUUUUAUUUCUGCUCUCUCUCACUUUGGGUGCGUUCCAAAAGGAGCCUCUCAACCGCAUCUGUAACAGGACACCUCAGUUCACGUCGGACCAUUCACAGCAGCAGAAGGGCAGGAUCGGCUGUAGAAAAGAUUUACAUUCUUUUUGGGAAGAGUCCAUUGCCUUUUUAUUUCCUAAAUGGCCAUUUUGUAUUUCACCCGUUGUUGAAUCAAAAGCAGAUAUCUCAAGAGGUGCUGGACCCUGAGAGUGAAGUUUAGUGCAUCACGUAAAGUCUGUGAACAAAGUUUUUCCUCCAGUAUGC
RNAcentral lists this long non-coding RNA (710 nucleotides) under Ornithorhynchus anatinus (platypus). RNAcentral's name for it is "lncRNA (ENSOANG00000047448.1)". Lineage: Eukaryota; Metazoa; Chordata; Mammalia; Monotremata; Ornithorhynchidae. The record is from RNAcentral.